RNAcentral lists this long non-coding RNA (1415 nucleotides) under Homo sapiens (human). Its description in RNAcentral is "HSALNT0353370". Lineage: Eukaryota; Metazoa; Chordata; Mammalia; Primates; Hominidae. The record is from RNAcentral.
CCCUCAGCACUCCCCAUGGGGCUCACUAACCUUGGCUACCUUCAUCGUUUAUGGGAGUUGAGCUGUGCAUGCUUGAGACUGCCAUUUGUUUCUUCUUGCAUUGAAAUAACUUGCUUUUCUCUUUCAGCAACCCUGGGGUUCAACAAUUUGAAACUGCUUCACACCAAGAGCAGAGAAACUCGCUCUGUGGUUAUCACCUCAGAGAGACACAAUACCCAAAACCUGAGAACAUUCGCCUUGUUUUGUUGGAGUCAACACAUCUGCCAGAUGUUCUGCACAUAUUUGUCAAUUUCUGUGGUCUGACUCAGAGCACAGGAAGUGUGGGUACUUCUGCUGGUGUCAAUCAUUGGGACUGGAUUAUGUCUAAGCAUCUUCAACCUCACAGGGAGGAGCUUGACCGGAGAAAGAGGCUGAGAACUGCUUCUCUUACCAAGGACCUUCCCCAAGCCAGGCAUCUCCGGAGAUGGUAUGGAGCCUGGGGUAGCUCGGCCAGGCCUUUGAUCACCAGCGAUGCCAUUGCUCUUCCCCGUUUCGCGUCUGCUGUGGCUUGCUGCUGAGGCUGCUUUCAGACCUCUGGAAUCAGAAAAGGAGGUGACUAUAUCAGGUUGAAUGCCUUGAUGGUCUAGACGUGUGACACUUGCUGCAUUUAUGAGACUGGAGGUGGGGCCCCACCCAAGUUCUGCUUCCAGAGGAGGAGGCAAGACCAAGACACCAAAACAAGGUUCAGCAGAGGACACAUCUGGAACCCCUUUCCUGCUGGAGUGGACAGUGGAGGCAGCGCCACAGUGGAUUUUCAUUGGUGUCUCCCCUGGCUGCCUGGUGGCUGCCUGUCAGAGCCAGCGCUUGAGAACGUGGCUGCUAGUGAAAGUGUUUAUGUGUUUAUGUGACCACAGGUAGCAAACAGAUAAGAAACUAUCCGACUGAGGAGCAGCAAGGGUCUGGAGCUACUGCGAUUGGGUGACCUGGGUAGAGACCCUCCUGGAGAUUUCACUCUGACUAGAACUGGAAGGACAAACCCACCGCAGGAGAACCUUCAGGAGUGAGGCUAACUCAUCUGUGCCACUUAAUGCCGGAGUAACAAAGCCCCCAUCCACUGAGGACGGAGAGAGCAGAUUGUAAGGAGAGAGCAGAUUGUGUGGAGAGGCAGGGGUUUCUGUCACGUAGAAAGCAUCUUGUACAAUGUCUGACACACAGCAAGUGACCAAAAUGUGCCAGGCUGGUCCACCCAGUGCUCUCCAAACACCGUGGUCGCUUGCAUCUGUGGGAUUUUGCUGGUGAUCCUUCCCUAUUUAUCUGAGAUAAAGAAAUUGAAGAACCAUGAAAUUAAGGCACAUUGCCACAUCAUACAGUGGGCAAAUGCUGGAACAAGGUUAGAAUUCCCUUCUGUCUGAAUACUGUUUUAAAAAGUACUCCAA